RNAcentral lists this long non-coding RNA (419 nucleotides) under Salmo salar (Atlantic salmon). Its description in RNAcentral is "lncRNA (ENSSSAG00000117093.1)". The record is from RNAcentral. Lineage: Eukaryota; Metazoa; Chordata; Actinopteri; Salmoniformes; Salmonidae.
AAGAGAGGGAGAGAGGUGAGGUGGAAGAGAGGGGGAGAGGUGAGGUGGAGGAGAGAGGGAGAGAGAUGGGGUGGAAGAGAGAUGAGGUGGGAGAGAGGGGGAGAGGUGAGGUGGAGGAGAGAGGGAGAGAGAUGAGGUGGAGGAGAGAGGGAGAGAGGUGAGGUGGAGGAGAGAGGGGGAGAGGUGAGGUGGAGGAGAGAGGGAGAGAGAUGAGGUGGAGGAGAGAGGGAGAGAGGUGAGAUGGACGAGAGAAACCAACAUCCUUAACAUUCAACAUCCCGAGGCUACUGCAUUAAAAUCUUGCACAGUGUGAGUCAAAAGGUAGAAUGCAACACAAAUCACCACGGAUAACAAAUAGUCAUAAAGACGUGAAGGCCGAUGUGGAGAACUAUAAAGGUCUUACCUGAGCGGCUCGCAGG